Molecule: long non-coding RNA, 620 nt
Organism: Oncorhynchus tshawytscha (Chinook salmon)
Lineage: Eukaryota; Metazoa; Chordata; Actinopteri; Salmoniformes; Salmonidae
Source: Ensembl
UGUUUUUGUUGUUAAAAACAAAUCUGUUUUUCGGAGUGAAAUACCAUCUGUACUGAAAUGGGCAGAUAAAUGCUUAAUUAUAGCUAAAUGGGUUCAUUCAUUAAGUGGGCUUCUCUAUCCCUUGGCGGACUUCAGGUGUGAAAAGAAACCUCUCUCCCUGUGGAGUCUAUCAUCUGUGUCUGUGUUCCAGACAGCUGUGCAGUAGAGUAGGAUGUGUUUUAAACUGCCCUGUCUCUGCUGUUCCAGAUGAGAUUACAGUCCUGUCUCUGACGCCUUUGUUCUGAAUUAUGUCCCAGUGUAAUCUAUAAUUCCUGUAAUCUGACCAACAGUUAACACUGCAAUCUGAGAUGAGAUGAAGUGGAGGUGUUAGUGCUGGUGCUAGUCCUUGAUGGAGGUGCCGGUGCUAGUCAUUGAUGGAGGUGGUGGUGCCGGUGCUAGUCCUUGAUGGAGGUGGUGGUGCCGGGGAUAGUCCUUGAUGGAGGUGUUAGUGCCGGGGCUAGUCCUUGAUGGAGGUGGUGGUGCCGGGGCUAGUCCUUGAUGGAGGUGUUAGUGCCGGGGCUAGUCCUUGAUGGAGGUGUUAGUGCCGGGGCUAGUCCUUGAUGGAGGUGUUAGUGCCGGGG